RNAcentral lists this ribosomal RNA (95 nucleotides) under Desulfopila sp. IMCC35006. Lineage: Bacteria; Pseudomonadati; Thermodesulfobacteriota; Desulfobulbia; Desulfobulbales; Desulfocapsaceae. The record is from RNAcentral.
AUCCACCCGUUCCCAUUCCGAACACGGAAGUUAAGCUCUUUAGCGCCGAUGGUACUGCACGGGCGACUGUGUGGGAGAGUAGGUCAUCGCCGUUU